RNAcentral lists this ribosomal RNA (378 nucleotides) under uncultured cyanobacterium. RNAcentral describes it as "bacterial SSU rRNA". It matches the Rfam family "Bacterial small subunit ribosomal RNA", at positions 376 to 770 of the family's 1533-position model. Lineage: Bacteria; Bacillati; Cyanobacteriota. The record is from RNAcentral.
CGAAAGCCUGACGGAGCAACGCCGCGUGGGGGAAGAAGGUUCUUGGAUUGUAAACCCCUUUUCUCAGGGAAGAAACCUGACGGUACCUGAGGAAAAAGCCUCGGCUAACUCCGUGCCAGCAGCCGCGGUAAUACGGAGGAGGCAAGCGUUAUCCGGAAUUAUUGGGCGUAAAGCGUCCGCAGGUGGCGAUUCAAGUCUGCUGUCAAAGCACGGGGCUUAACUCCGUUAAGGCAGUGGAAACUGAAUGGCUAGAGUGCCGUAGGGGUAGAGGGAAUUCCCGGUGUAGCGGUGAAAUGCGUAGAGAUUGGGAAGAACACCGGUGGCGAAAGCGCUCUACUGGGUCGCACCUGACCCUCAGGGACGAAAGCUAAGGUAGCG